UGCAACCUGAGCUCAG
RNAcentral lists this ribosomal RNA (16 nucleotides) under Heterorhabditis bacteriophora. Its description in RNAcentral is "partial 28S ribosomal RNA". The record is from RNAcentral. Lineage: Eukaryota; Metazoa; Nematoda; Chromadorea; Rhabditida; Heterorhabditidae.